Molecule: ribosomal RNA, 468 nt
Filed under: uncultured bacterium
Lineage: Bacteria
Description: partial 16S ribosomal RNA
Rfam family: Bacterial small subunit ribosomal RNA
Source: RNAcentral
GACGAACGCUGGCGGCGUGCUUAACACAUGCAAGUCGAACGGAAAGGCCCUGCUUUUGUGGGGUGCUCGAGUGGCGAACGGGUGAGUAACACGUGAGUAACCUGCCCUUGACUUUGGGAUAACUUCAGGAAACUGGGGCUAAUACCGGAUAGGAGCUCCUGCUGCAUGGUGGGGGUUGGAAAGUUUUGGCGGUUGGGGAUGGACUCGCGGCUUAUCAGCUUGUUGGUGGGGUAGUGGCUUACCAAGGCUUUGACGGGUAGCCGGCCUGAGAGGGUGACCGGCCACAUUGGGACUGAGAUACGGCCCAGACUCCUACGGGAGGCAGCAGUGGGGAAUAUUGCACAAUGGGCGGAAGCCUGAGGCAGCAACGCCGCGUGCGGGAUGACGGCCUUCGGGUUGUAAACCGCUUUCGCCUGUGACGAAGCGUGAGUGACGGUAAUGGGUAAAGAAGCACCGGCUAACUACGUG